Ictalurus punctatus (channel catfish) is the source of this 1559-nucleotide long non-coding RNA. The record is from Ensembl. Lineage: Eukaryota; Metazoa; Chordata; Actinopteri; Siluriformes; Ictaluridae.
UAUAUUCCAUCAAGUAUACUUUGAACCUAUUUAAUUUAGGCGUAGUUUUAUUACAGUAUUAUUGUUUUGGAUUUGUUGGGCUGUUUUUAUUAUGUAUUGUAAUAUAUUUUGUAAUGAGAUGUUAGCGUUUCAUGAUUAAAGUAUUUAACAGUAACUGACAAUAUUUUUUUAAAAAUAUUUUACAGUGUCGGUGUUGAGCAUUAAUAAUGGUGAGGCGAUCGUCUAAUCAUAGUAUAUAAGGAGCCUCCAAAAAACGCCUAGUCCUUCAGGAGCGAGGAUGGGUCGAAGCUCGCCAAUCCGCCCACAAUUUGAGAACAAAAUUCGCCAACAACAAAUCGGUAGGAUUUUUGCCAUUUCACCUUCUACAGUUCACAAUAUUAUUAAAACAUUCAAGGAAUCCGGUCAAAUGUCUCUGUGUAAAGGGCGAGGCCGAAAACCUCUUCUGAAUGCGCAUGAUCUCCGAUCCCUCAGACGUCACUGUCUUAAAAACAGUCAUGAGCCUGUAAUGGAGAUCCUGACAUGGGCUCGGGAAUACUUUGGUAAACCUUUGUUCAUCAAAACACCAUUCACUGCUUUACUAUGCAAAGCAGAAGCCGUACAUCAACACUGUCCAGAAGCUCCACCCACUUCUCUGGGCUCGGUCUCAUCUGAGAUGGACAGUAGCACAGUGGAAUCGUGUUUUGUGGUCCGACAAGUGAACAUUUCAAAUAGUUUUUGGACAAAACAGCCGUUGUGUUCUCCGGGCCAAAGAGGAAAAGGACCGUCCAAGCUGUUAUCAGUGUCAGGUCCAAAAGCCAGCGUCUGUCAUGGUAUGGGGGCGUGUCAGUGCCCAUGGUAUGGGGAUGUGUCAGUGCCCAUAGCAUGGGUAACUCACACAUCUGUGAGGGCAACAGUAAUGCAGAAAGAUAUGUACACAUUUUGGAGCAACAUCUGCUGCCAUCCAGAGCAGGACAACGCCACACCACAUUCUGCCCGGAUUACAAGCGCAUAGUUGCGUAAGCACAGAGUGCGGGUGCGAGCAUGGCCUGCUGCAGUACUGACCUGUCUCCGAAUUGAGAAUGUGUAUUGCAUUAUGAAGUCUAAAAUAAUGCAACGAAGGCCCUGUACAGUUGCGCAGCUGAAGAAAUGCAUAAUGGAUGAUUGGCGUGCACUUCUGCUUGCUAAACUUAACCAAAUGGAGUCUUCACUCAGCGUCCAAACCCUUAAUAAGUGUUAUUAAAAGAAAAUGUGACGUACAGUGAGAAAAAGUCGACUGUCCCAACUUUUUUGUUUAAAUCAUCAGAAUUGAAAUGUGUAUAUUUUCAAAAAUAAAUUAAAUUCAUAAAGUAAAACACCAAAUAAUGUGUUAAUAAUGUGAUUUCAAUAUAGUACAGGGUGAAUUGAAUUUUCAAAUUUUUUUUUUUUUUUUUUUUUUUUUUUUUUUUGCAUUUUCCAUACGGUCCCAACUUUUUUUGGAAUUGGGGUUGUGUAUAUAUAAAUAAAUAAAUAUAUGUAUGGUGUUUUAUUUGUCUUUUCUGGUGUUUUUGCUUGUUUGUUUGUUUGUUUGUUUGUUUUUGUAG